AUAGGACAGUUACAGCAACUGAAGCUAGGCAUAUAUAGAGAAAACACCAGAAAAAUUCUCUGAUUUUUACCGUUUUGUUUGAUUUAUUAGUUGGCACUCAUAGAGGCUUUUAAUCUAUUCUAAGCUACAAUGUUAGGUAAUUCUAAACAUGUUGCAGUUUUUGCAUUCCCAUUUGACCACCAUGCCAAACUGGUCCUCAACUUAGUCUGCAAAUCAGCAACGGCUAUUCCAGAAGCUCAGUCUUCUUUCUUCACCACAACCAAAUCCAACCACACUCUCUUCUCACCCUCCCAAUCCCACUUUCCACCCAACCUCAAACCCUACACCGUCGGAUACGGCGUUCCGGUGGGCCAUCAGCCGCCGGCGACUUAUCUUCAGUCACUGGACUUAUUCAUCACGGCAGCGCCAAAAAACUUCGAGAUGGUAUGAAAGUGGCAGUGACAGAUUCGGCCGGAGUAUCAGCUGCUUGAUAACUGACGGAAUCCACGCAUUCGUUGGAUCCCAAUUUGGGUUCCGUUUUCCUCUGCGCUUUUGCCCAUAUUCCCACCCACCUUAUUCGCGAAAGCUUUAACGAUGAAGACCAGGCUAUACAACCCAUUAUUCCCGGAUAAUCCGGAUUGCGAAAUGAGGAUCUACCCGACGAAGUAUUCAUCAAUGGCGGUGACGAAGAAACGAUUUUCUCCCACAUGCCGAGUUAAACCGGACUGAUUCUACCAGUGAGCUACAGCCAUUGUCAUGAAUUCUUACCAAGAAUUAGGCGCUGAUUCCCUUCUCACUCAGCAAGUCAAAUCCAAAUUUCACAAUUUAUUCAAUCUGGGUUUUCUCAUUGUUCCUCUGCCUCCGAUGCCUUUGCCACUGUCUGAUUCCGAUCAAACAGGUUGCCUAUCCUGGUUGGACGGGCAAAAAACGACGUCGGUUGCAUAAAUAAGCUUCGGAACCCCCAGAUCAUGAAGAGCUAAUUGCAAUUGCAGAGGCACUUGAAGCAAGUACCACUCUGCCAUUUCUCUGGUCUCUUAGAGGCAAUUUAGUGGACCUUUUGCCUAGUGGGUUUGUUGAAAGAACAAAGAAGCAUGGAAAAAUAGUGAAAUGAGCCAAGUUCUUGGACAUUGUUCGGUGGGUGUGUUGGUAACUCACUGUGGAUGUUACACUGUGUGCGAGAGCAUUGCUAAUGGGUUCCCAAUGAUUUGUAGGCCAUUCUUUGGUGACCCGGACCAUAAAAUGACUGCGAAAAUGAUGGAGGAAGUUUGGGAAGUUGGGGUGAGAAUUGAGGGUGGGGUUUCCACAAAGAGUGGAUUGGUCAAGAGCUUUGAGCUGUUUUUGGGAAACCAAAGAGGGAAGAUGAUGAAAAAGAAUGCUGAGGCACUCAAGGAGGUUAUAUUGAAAACUGCUCAACCGACCAAAAAAAAAAAAAAAAUGGAAUAGCUGCCAAAGAUUUCAAGAGUUUGACAAAUAUAAUAUGCUUUUGAAAGAAAUUACAAGUAUAAUAAUUAGUUUUAGCGUUUAUAAUAUACAUGUAUGGAUACAUGCAAGGGAUAUGGAUAUUUAUUAAAGGAUUAAUAUUAAUCUGGUUCCAACUUGCAACCAUUCUGGUCCUUCAGUAUCUGGUUCCAACUUCCAAUGUUAAUUUGUUUACUAUGUGGGACCACUUUUUAACUAUUGCACUAUAGUAUUUUCACAUGAUGCCAUAUUCAGAUCAAGUUGGUAAAACAACACCAUGGUUAUGGCCAAUAUAUAAUAUACGAAUGCUGUAUUCAUUAUACCUUCUCUGCUUUUCUGAGAAUCAAUAUUUGUGUCUUGCAAGCUUGUCUCUGAUUUCUCUACAACAUUAAUAAAUCUCUAACACGUAUUUGAGUUUGACUCAGGUUGGCAUCAAUGUUUCAAUUCCUGUUCCCUUGCCCUUCUUUCUCAUUUACUGGCUCCAAGGCGUCUUUUGCAAGCGAUCUUAACUUCUACGGCAAGGCUGGAGUUAAUUUUUACACUCACAUAAAAACUAUUAACUCAGCAGUAGGACUUACCUGGAGGCAGUGGUGUUGACGUAGCAAUGCCGACUUCUCAGAAGGCAUAAUCGCUAUCUAAUUCUGUGAUAAAUGGUUUCUUAAAGUUUACCACUUUGUGACAGGAUAUUGUAAAUGCAAUUACUGAUGAUGAUGAUAUCAGAUCUGUUUCAUUUGUGGGCUUUAAUACUGCUGCCAUGCACAUAUAUGGAAGAGCAUCAGCUAAAGGGAAACGUGUUCAGUCUAAUAUGGGAGCCAAAAAUCAUGCAAUCGUCCUGUCUGAUGCAAGCGAGGAUGCUGCUUUAAAUGCUAUUGUUGCUGCUGGUUUCGGUGCUGCUGGACAAAGAUGCAUGGCACUCAGCACAGUUGUUUUUGUUGGAGGUGCAAAGUCAUGGUACAUAUUAUUUUCCCUGUUUGUUCAAUUUUAUUCCGGUUUAUGUUGUACAGUAUUCUACCUUUUUCCUUUUAAUAAU
Ziziphus jujuba (common jujube) is the source of this 2467-nucleotide RNA transcript. It is a transcript of the gene named methylmalonate-semialdehyde dehydrogenase [acylating], mitochondrial-like, with no coding region annotated. Lineage: Eukaryota; Viridiplantae; Streptophyta; Magnoliopsida; Rosales; Rhamnaceae. The transcript is spliced from 4 exons. The record is from RefSeq and is a predicted model, not a curated record.